This is a long non-coding RNA of Balaenoptera acutorostrata (minke whale), 6731 nucleotides long. RefSeq lists it as uncharacterized. The record is from RefSeq and is a predicted model, not a curated record. Lineage: Eukaryota; Metazoa; Chordata; Mammalia; Artiodactyla; Balaenopteridae. The transcript has 2 exons.
CAGGGGCCAGAUGGAUCUGGCUCUGACCCCAGAGACCCACCCAAGGAUGGAGGCAGCAAUUUCUCCCGUAAAGCAGGAACCUCCAUACUGUUCUCCAUAGCGGCUGUAUCAAUUUACAUUCCCACCAACAGUGCAAGAGAGUUCUCUCUCCUCCACACCCUCUCCAGCAUUUGUUGUUUGUAGAUUUUCUGAGGAUGCCCAUUCUGACCGGCGUAAGGUGAUACCUCAAUGUAGUUUUGAUUGCAUGUCUCUAAUAAUUAGUGAUGUUGAGCAGCUUUUCAUGUGCUUCUUGGCCAUCUGUAUGUCUUCUUUGGAGAAAUGUCUAUUUAGGUCUUCUGCCCAUUUUUUGAUUGGGUUGUUUGUUUUUUGUUAAUAUUGAGCUGCAUGAGCUGUUUAUAUAUUUUGGGGAUUAAUCAUUUGUCCGUUGAUUCAUUUGCAAAUAUUUUCUCCCAUUCUGAGGGUUGUCUUUUCAUCUUGUUUGUAGUUUCCUUUGCUGUGCAAAACUUUGAAGUUUCAUUAGGUCCUAUUUGUUUAUUUUUGUUUUUAUUUCCAUUACUCUAGGAGGUGGACCAAAAAAGAUCUUGCUGUGAUUUAUGUCAAAGAGUGUUCUUCCUAUGUCUCCUCGAAGAGUUUUAUAGUGUCCGGCGGUCUUACAUUUAGGUCUCUAAUCCAUUUUGAGUUUAUUUUUGUGUAUGGUGUUAGGGAGUGUUCUAAUUUCAUUCUUUUACAAGUAGCUGUCCAGUUUUCCCAGCACCACUUAUUGAAGAGACUGUCUUUUCUCCAUUUUAUAUCCUUGCCUCCUUUGUCAUAGAUUAGUUGACCAUAGGUGUGUGGGUUUAUCUCUGGGCUUUCUAUCCUGUUCCAUUGAUCUAUAUUUCUGGUUUUGUGCCAGUACCAUAUUGUCUUGAUUACUGUAGCUUUGUAGUAUAGUCUGAAGUAAGGGAGUCUGAUUCCUCCAGCUCUGUUUUUUUCCCUCAAGACUGCUUUGGCUAUUUGGGGUCUUUUGUGUCUCCUACAAGUUUUCAGGUUUUUUGUUCUAGUUCUGUAAAUAAUGCCACUGGUAUUUUGAUAGGGAUUGCAUUGAAUCUGUAGAUUGCUUUGGGUAGUAUAGUCAUUUUCACCAUAUUGAUUCUUCCAAUCCAAGAACAUGGUAUAUCUCUCCAUCUGUUUGUGUCAUCUUUGAUUUCUUUCAUCAGUGUCUUAUAGUUUUGUGAGUACAGGUCUUUUGUCUCCCUAGGUAGGUUUAUUCCUAGGUAUUUUACUCUUUUUGUUGCAAUGGUGAAUGGGAUUGUUUCCUUAAUUUCUCUUUCUGAUCUUUCAUUGUUAGUGUAUAGGAAUGCCAGAGAUUUCUGUGCAUUAAUUUUGUAUCCUGCAACUUUACCAAAUUCAUUGAUUAGCUCUAGUAGUUUUCUGGUGGCAUCAUUAGGAUUCUCUAUGUAUAGUGUCAUGUCAUCUAAAAACAAUAAGUUUUAUUUCUUCUUUUCCAAUUUGGAUUCCUUUUAUUUUUCUUCUCUGACUGCUGUGGCUAGGACUUCCAAAACUGUGUUGAAUAAUAGUGGUGAGAGUGGACAUCCUUUUCUUGUUCCUGGUCUUAGAGGAAAUGCUUUCAGUUUUUCACCAUUGAGAAUGAUGUUUUGCUUUGGGUUUGUCGUAUAUGGCCUUUAUUAUGUUGAGGUAGGUUCCCUCUAUGCCCACUUUCUGGAGAGUUUUUAUCAGAAAUGGGUGUUGAAUUUUGUCAAAAGCUUUUUCUGCAUCUAUUGAGAUGAUUAUAUGGUUUUUCUUCUUCAGUUUCUUAAUAUGGUGUAUCACAUUGAUUGAUUUGCGUAUAUUGAAGAAUCCUUGCAUCCCUGGGAUAGAUCCCACUUGAUCAUGGUGUAUGAUCGUUUUCAUGUGUUGUUGGAUUCUGUUUGCUAGUAUUUUGUUGAGGAUUUUUGCAUCUAUAUUCAUCAGUGAUAUUGGUCUGUAGUUUUCUUUUUUUGAGGUAUCUCUGUCUGGUUUUGGUAUCAGGGUGAUGGUGGCCUCAUAGAAUGAGUUUGGGAGUGUUCCUUCCUCUGCAGUUUUUUGGAAGAGUUUGAGAAGGAUGGGUAUUAGCUCUUCUCUAAAUGUUUGAUAGAAUUCACCUGUGAAGCCAUCUGGUCCUGGACUUUUGUUUGUUGGAAGAUUUUUAAUCACCAUUUCCAUUUCAUUACUUGUGAUUGGUCUGUUCAUAUUCUCUAUUUCUUCCUGGUUCACUCUUGGAAGGUUAUACCUAAGAAUUUGUCCAUUUCCUCCAGGUUGUCCGUUUUAUUGGCAUAGAGUUGCUUGUAGUAGUCUCUCAUGAUACUUUGUAAUUCUGCGGUGUCCGUUGUAACUUCUCCUUUACAUCUCUAAUUUCAUUGAUUUGAGUCCUCUCCCUCUUUUUCUUGAUGAGUCUGGCUAAAGGUUGAUCAAUUUUGUUUAUCUUCUCAAAGAACCAGCUUUUAGUUUUAUUGAUCUUUGCUAUUAUUUUCUUUGUGUCUAUUUCAUUUCUUUCUGCUCUGAUCUUUAUGAUUUCUUUCCUUCUACUAACUUUGGGUUUGUUUGUUCUUCUUUCUCUAGUUCCUUUAGGUGUAAGGUUAGCUUGGUUAUUUGAGAUUUUUCUUGUUUCUUGAGGUAGGCUUGUAUUGCUAUUAAUUUCCCCCUUAGAACUGCUUUUGCUGCAUCCCAUAGGUUUUGGAUCAUCGUGUUUUCAUUGUCAUUUGUCUCUAGGUAUUUUUUAAUUUCCUCUUUGAUUUCUUCACUGAUCUCUUGGUGAAGAGAUUUAGUAACGUAUUGUUUAGCCUCCAUGUGUUUGUGUUUUUUACGUUUUCUUUCCCUGUAAUUGAUUUCUAAUCUUACAGCGCUGUGGUUGGAAAAGAUGCUUGAUAUGAUUUCAGUUUUCUUAAAUUUACCAAGGCUUGAUUUGUGACCCAAGAUGGGAUCUAUCCUGGAGAAUGUUCCAUGUGCACUUGAGAAGAAAGUGGAAUCUGCUGUUUUUGGAUGGAAUGUCCUAUAGAUAUCAAUUAAAUCUCUCUGGUCUAUUUUGUCAUUUAAAGCUUGUAUUUCCUUAUUAAUUUUCUGUCUGGAUGAUCUGUCCAUGGGUGUAAGUGAGGUGUUAAAGUCUCCCACUAUUAUUGUGUCACUGUCGAUUUCCUCUUUUAUAGCUAUUAGCAGUUGCCUUAUGUAUUGAGGUGCUUGUAUGUUGGGUGCACGUAUAUUUAUAAUUGUUAGAUCUUUUUCUUGGAUUGAUCCCUUGAUCAUUAUGUAGUGUCCUUCCUUGUCUCUUGUAACAUUCUUUAUUUUAAAGUCUAUUUUAUCUGAUAUGAGUAUAGCUACUCCAGCUUUCUUUUGAUUUCCAUUUGCAUGGAAUAUCUUUUUCCAUCCCCUCACUUUCAGUCUGUAUGUGUCCCUAGGUCUAAAGUGGGUCUCUUGUAGACAGCAUAUAUAUGGGUCUUGUUUUUGUAUCCAUUCAGCCAGUCUAUGUCUUUUGGUUGGGGCAUUUAAUCCAUUCACGUUUAAGGUAAUUAUCGAUAUGUAUGUUCCUAUGACCAUUUUCUUAAUUGUUUUGGGUUUGUUUUUGUAGGUCCGUUUCUUCUCUUGUGUUUCCCACUUAGAGAAGUUCCUUUAGCAUUUGUUGUAGAGCUGGUUUGGUGGUGCUGAAUUCUCUUAGCUUUUGCUUGUCUCUAAAGCUUUUGAUUUCCCCAUCAAAUCUAAAUGAGAUCCUUGCCGGGUAGAGUAAUCUUGGUUGUAGGUUCUUCCCUUUCAUCACUUGAAGUAUAUCAUGCCACUCCCUUCUGGCUUGCAGAGUUUCUGCUGAGAAAUCAGCUGUUAACCUUAUGGGAGUUCCCUUGUAUGUUAUUUGUCGUUUUUCCCAUGCUGCUUUCAAUAAUUUUUCUUUGUCUUUAAUUUUUGCCACUUUGAUUACUAUGUGUCUCAGCGUGUUUCUCCUUGGGUUUAUCCUGUAUGGGACUCUCUGCGCUUCCUGGACUUGGGUGGCUAUUUCCUUUCCCAUGUUAGGGAAGUUUUCGACUAUAAUCUCUUCAAAUAUUUUCUCUGGUCCUUUCUCUCUCUCUCUUCUCCUUCUGGGACCCCUAUAAUGUGAAUGUUGUUGCGUUUAAUGUUGUCCCAGAGGUCUCUUAGGCUGUCUUCACUUCUUUUCAUUCUUUUUUCUUUAGUCUGUUCCACAGCAGUGAAUUCCACCAUUCUGUCUUCCAGGUCACUUAUCCGUUCUUCUGCCUCAGUUAUUUCUGCUAUUGAUUCCUUCUAGUGUAGUUUUCAUUUCAGUUAUUGUAUUGGUCAUCUCUGUUUGUUUGUUCUUUAAUUCUUCUAGGUCUUUGUUAAUCAUUUCUUGCAUCUUCUCAAUCUUUGCCUCCAUUCUUAUUCCGAGGUCCUGGAUCAUCUUCACUAUCAUUAUUCUGAAUUCUUUUUCUGGAAGGUUGCCUAUCUCCACUUCAUUUAGUUGUUUUUCUGGGGUUUUUUCUUGUUCCUUCAUCUGGUACAUAGCCCUCUGCCUUUUCAUCUUCUCUGUCUUUCUAAAAACUGAGGAAAGAGGAAGGAACUUGGCCCAGGGCUAGGAAGGCCAACAGAGAGGUAUGGAUUUAGGAAAGGAAGCAGGAGUGAGGAUGAAAUGGCAGAAGUAAAAAGCAGGGUCAGAGGUCUGGGUUGAAAGAACACAAUUUGAGUAGAGUUGAAGGUGACAGAAGAUGAGUCUAGGUUUACUAGGAGAAAUAGAAAAAGUCUCUUGGGGACGUUGGCCUUAAGUCUCACAACCACCAGAUAGGUAUUUCAGAAAACAAGAGGUUCAGGACACAUCUCUGAAAGGUUUGAGUUGCCUUAUUCAGGUAUGAUUAUAGUGGGGGAAUAAGGAAAUCUACCAGAGAAGUGGCUAGGGCUCACAGUUAUCCUAGGGGCAGCUGACGACAGGGGCAGAGCCAAGGGAACUGCUGGAUCAGGAGGCCCACGAACAAAUCAGGGGCAUAGCCGCCUGUCACUUCCCUACCAGGAAGGAAGCCAGGUAUAUUACUAUAACCAAGGCACACUGGGGUCUUUACUGUAUGGAGAACUUGGCUCCUGCCCGCAAUCCUAUGGCUCUGCGUCAUACACAGGAAGUAGGGCCUCUGUGCAACCAGAAAUGGGAAUGGGACUGAAGGAGAUUCAGCCCACAAAUAUCCGACCACCAGCUUCCACCUCUGCAAUCAGCCACCCUGUGUCUGCUCAACGCAUCACAGAAACAAGUUUUCAAGGUGAGUAUACAAACAGCAGAGAAAAUUGAAGAAUGAGGUCAGCGUUCAAAAAUGGGGUCAAAUCGACAGCUGGGAAGUGGUGUAGAGACAGGUAGAAUUUAGAUCCUGAGCCUUUAAUAACCACUACCUUCUCUCAGUGCUCUCUGUUUUUAGACUCUAUAUAAGAACACCUAGGGCUUCCCUGGUGGCGCCUGCCAAUGCAGGGGACACGGGUUCGAGCCCUGGUCUGGGAAGAUCCCACAUGCUGUGCAGCAACUAAGCGCAUGUGCCACAACGACUGAGCCUGCAUUCUAGAGCCCGUGAGCCUCAACUACCGAAGCCCACGUGCCUACAGCCCAUGCUCCGCUACAAGAGAAGCCACCGCGAUGAGAAGCCCGCACACCGCAACCAAGAGUAGCCCCCGCUAGCCGUAACUAGAGAAAGCCCGUGCACAGCAAUGAAGACCCAGUGCAGCCAAAAGAAUAAAUACGUAGAAUAAAUAAGUUCAAACAAUAAAUAAAUAAAUAAACCUAAAUUUAAAAAAAAAAGAACAUCUAAUGCAGGAGGGAAGGUGGGAGGGCCACUGUAAAGGUCAUCUAUGCUACAUGUACAAGAACCCCGAGAGCACACCAAUAGGUACCACAUUUUUCACUGCUGUAGCCGAUCAUUCCCCCUGUACUAUACCACACUGUAGCACUCCCUUCCCUCAUCUACUGCUAUAGUCUCUUUGGAAGGUGUUUCAGAACUCUUGUUAUGAGAGUGCCAGUUGAACUGUCCUCACUUCCUUAAUUUAUACCAGGAUUUAAGACCUUGUGGUCUGAGAUCCUGUCCAGAGAGCAAGCAGGCUAAGACUCUGUCUUUGUUGAUAUAUUUCAUCAGAAAGGGCUCUACCCCCUCUCCUAGUUCAUGGUGUGAAGUGUUCUUAGCCUCUCAGGAAAGUGGGGAGAAUUGAAAGGACUCUAUAUGAGAAUGCUAGGCUUUGUAAAACAUUUCAGUUUUUUAAAAAUAAGACUCAUUUUGUAUUGGACUUACAACAGUCCUAUGAAAUACAAAGAAAGCCAAGAAUCAGUGACAUGAAACGAUCACCAGUAAGAAUUACAACAGUCACCGCUUACCUCGUAGCAUAGGGCACUGUCCAUGAUCCUUAAGAAGAGUUAGCAGAAAUGCCUUGCCCAUCUUGCCCCUGAACCCCUUGAAAGGUACACGACUGCUGUGUUGGUGUUUAGGGGGAGCAUCUCACUUACCAGGGACUGACUUCUCCCUUGAUUCCUCUGUAGUGAUGGAGACUUCCCCGCUGAUGAAAAAUUCCCUGGGAUUGCAACCUCCAAGCCAGACAGCUUUCCUAUGGACUGACAGAGAACUUGUCAAGAUGAAACACCAGUCUGCGGGAGAAAGGGAAGAAGAGAAUGAUGGAAAUCGUUUCUGGGAAACUAUUUUUACAUUAUGUUUUGUUUGUUCCUGGUAAAUAAACUGUAAUCUUCUUAACAUUAAAACAAAAUCUAAACCACUAAA